UAUGUAUGUAUGUAUGUAUGUAUGUAUGUAUGUAUGUAUGUAUCCCAACCGGACAAAUGACGCGACUCCAUCGGAAUGCCGUGGCUUACUACUCUAGUGCUCUAUCUACUUCAAUCAUCAGACAGGAGCCCCCACCACCGAGAGGUCCAAGGUUGCUGCGGUCAUUUCCCUGCUUACCAGACGGGCUUUGGAGUGGGCCACGGCCUUCUAGGAGAGGAGGAGCUGAGUUCCUAUGAGAGGUUCAUGGCUCUGUUUAUGGCGAUCUUCGAUCAUCCACCUGAGGGCAGGGCGGGAGGUCGCUGAGGCACAGUUCCAGCAGGUCUUCCGACACUAUGGCCUUCCGGAGGACAUCGUCUCCAAUAGUGGCCUCCAAUUCACAUCACGGGUAUGGAAAGCCUUCAUGGAGAAGCUGGGGGUCACCGGGCAGGUGGAGAGGAUGAACCAGGAGCUGGGGAGGUUCCUUAGGUGCUGGCCUGGUUCCAUCCCUGGAUAGAGUACACCCAGAAUUCACCGUGCCACUCCUCCACCGGGCAGACCCCCUUCCAGUGUGUCCUGGGAUAUCAACCAGCUCUGGCUCCAUGGACCCCAAGCCAGACCGACGCUUCUGCGGCAGACUAGUAGUUCAGAAGGAGCAGGUGGAGCCGGCAGACUGAGGUUCCUGUAUUCCAUCCUGGUGAUCGUGUCUGGCUCGCCACCGGGAACCUCCUGCUCUGUAGGAAGCUGAGUCUCCGGUUUAUGGGGCCCUUUAAGGUCCUCCGGGCAACCCGGUGGUUCCUGGUUACCCACCCCCGGACAUCGAUGGGAGUCUCACCUUUGCCGUCAGGUCCCUCCUGGACUCCCGAGGUCGUGGGGGUUGGCUCCACUACCUGGUGGACUGGGAGGGUACGGUCCAGAGGAGCGCUGUUGGGUCACGGUGGACGCCCCCCGCAACGCCCCUGGACAUCGAUGGGCGCCUCGCCUUUGCCGUCAGGUCCCUCCUGGACUCCUGACGUCGUGGGGGUUGGCUCCAGUACCUGGUGUACUGGGAGGGUAUGGGCAUGGCGUCAUCCUGCGGCUAGUGGAGGGGGUACUGUCACGCCUACUCCUGUCACUUCCGCUCCGGCACUCGACUGCGCCAGUCUACUAACCACCGGUCCUAGCAACCCACAUUACGCACACCUGGCAACCAUCAUUGCGCACACCUGGACUUCAUCAUCACCCUGAUUACUUUCCCUUUUAUUUAGCCUUCAGUAGCCUCAGUCUUCAGGCAGUAUUGGUAUGGUUUAUGUUGAAUACGCUGCCCCUGUUUUGAUUAUCUUCAUGUUUCUUAUUAUUAAACUCACCUUCUGCACCUGCUUCCUGACUCCCUCGACACAGAUUAAGCCUAGUCCUGAAAUUAAAAGCAUGAUCAAGGGAGGAUCUGGCACAGUGUGUACCUGUCCAGGCUAGAGGGUGACUGUGGGCCUUGGUGUGUCUGUGGGGAACCUUUGGAAGUCUGGCUGGAGUACGUCACACUAGACUCCUCAUAGGGGAUCCUGCUGGGGUACAGACCGCUUGUUUGCAGAGGGGAACAGGUGCCAACGCUUCCUGAAAUAUAACAGGGUAGGAGUGCUGAUCUAGGUUCAGUUUAUUUUUAAAGGGAAAGCCAUCUUCACCAAAGCCAUUGCAUGCUUCAUUGCAAGUUAAGCAUGUUACUGUACUUCAGCAUGUGACAAAUAAAACUUGAAACCACAAUGAUUCUAUUCUAUGUAGUUGAGGAAACCUGGAAUCUAUCGCCAUUCAAUUUAAGCUAUAGUUCAAUAUAAUGUCUCUUUUAUUGAAAUAUUAUGUAAUGUGAGUUCUUUGGUUAGGUCAUCACAUCAAUGUGAAAGGUUUCAACAACCAAUUUAAAGAAACAAGACUAGUGAUCUUCAUAUGUGAAAGCAGUGAGAAGAUAAUAUGCACAAAUAUAUUUGUAUCGUUUGUCAGACUC
Oncorhynchus tshawytscha (Chinook salmon) is the source of this 1951-nucleotide long non-coding RNA. The record is from Ensembl. Lineage: Eukaryota; Metazoa; Chordata; Actinopteri; Salmoniformes; Salmonidae.